UAAGGAAUAUUGGUCAAUGGGCGCAAGCCUGAACCAGCAACGCCGCGUGGAGGAAGAAGGGUUUCGGCUCGUAAACUCCUUUUAGGUGGGAAGAGCAAGGACGGUACCACCUGAAUAAGUCUCGGCUAACUACGUGCCAGCAGCCGCGGUAAAACGUAGGAGACGAGCGUUAUCCGGAUUUACUGGGCGUAAAGCGCGUGCAGGCGGUUAGAUAAGUCACUUGUGAAAGCGCCCGGCUCAACUGGGCGAGGCCGUGUGAGACUGUCUAACUUGAGAGAGGUAGAGGCGAAUGGAAUUCCGGGUGGAGUGGUGAAAUGCGUAGAGAUCCGGAGGAACACCAGUGGCGAAGGCGAUUCGCUGGGCCUACUCUGACGCUCAGACGCGAUAGCAUGGGGAGCGAACGGG
This 405-nucleotide ribosomal RNA is filed under the name uncultured bacterium. RNAcentral's name for it is "bacterial SSU rRNA". It matches the Rfam family "Bacterial small subunit ribosomal RNA", at positions 355 to 776 of the family's 1533-position model. The record is from RNAcentral.